This 166-nucleotide small RNA is filed under the name Rhizobium sp. N113. RNAcentral's name for it is "miscellaneous other RNA". Lineage: Bacteria; Pseudomonadati; Pseudomonadota; Alphaproteobacteria; Hyphomicrobiales; Rhizobiaceae. The record is from RNAcentral. RNAcentral also lists the same sequence under 8 other names.
UCGGCGCUCGAUCUCCUCAGGUCGUUUCACCGUCCAGCAGCCCGCAGCAGAAGAUGCCGACGAGCGCUGCGACGAUAAGGAAAUCGAACAGCGUAAAAUAUUCGAAAAUCGCAGACAUUGGCCUGCUCCUCCUAAUUUCCUCCGCUGCAAAUCAUAACAUGAAGGG